This 461-nucleotide long non-coding RNA is filed under the name Mytilus galloprovincialis (Mediterranean mussel). Lineage: Eukaryota; Metazoa; Mollusca; Bivalvia; Mytilida; Mytilidae. The record is from RNAcentral.
CAGAAUAAUUACAUAGUAAACGAUUAGUUCAACUGAACUAGAAUUGUUUGUACAUGUAUGUGCGCUCUAAACGAGCAUAAUACUUGCAACUGGAAUAUAAGCAAUUUUCAGUCAAAAGUUGAUUUAUAUGUUACAGGUUAAAUUUGCAAUAACAACCGGCAUUGCACCAACUAAUACUAAUAAAUGACCACUUCAUCAACUGUGUCCCCCAUUAUAGAAUUGCCGUAAACGUUAUUGAUUUUAUUCAUGUAUAAGCGCUAAAAGACGCGAGACGUCCUGGUGUUUAAUAGUGGACACGUUUUGGCGAAUAACAAUUAUCGGACACGUUUUGGGGUUAUAAAAUCAGACACGUUUAGGGAAUAUUGGAUAUUACGGACACGUUUCGGGAGAAUAGACACGUUUGGGGGAAUCGGACACGUUUGGGGGACAGGACACGUUUGGGAGUGUUACAUAUAUAAAAG